RNAcentral lists this ribosomal RNA (459 nucleotides) under uncultured bacterium. Its description in RNAcentral is "partial 16S ribosomal RNA". It matches the Rfam family "Bacterial small subunit ribosomal RNA", at positions 338 to 795 of the family's 1533-position model. The record is from RNAcentral.
CCUACGGGAGGCAGCAGUGAGGAAUAUUGGUCAAUGGACGAGAGUCUGAACCAGCCAAGUAGCGUGAAGGAUGACUGUCCUAUGGGUUGUAAACUUCUUUUAUAUGGGAAUAAAAUGUUCCACGUGUGGGAUUUUGUAUGUACCAUAUGAAUAAGGAUCGGCUAACUCCGUGCCAGCAGCCGCGGUAAUACGGAGGAUUCGAGCGUUAUCCGGAUUUAUUGGGUUUAAAGGGAGCGUAGGUGGAUUGUUAAGUCAGUUGUGAAAGUGUGGGGCUAAACCGUAAAAUUGCAGUUGAACUGGCAGUAUUGAGUACAGUAGAGGUGGGCGGAAUGCGUGGUGUAGCGGUGAAAUGCUUAGAUAUCACGAAGAACUCCGAUUGCGAAGGCAGUUCGCUGGACUGCAACUGACACUGGGGCUCGAAAGUGUGGGUAUCAAACAGGAUUAGAUACCCCAGUAGUC